RNAcentral lists this long non-coding RNA (1029 nucleotides) under Musa acuminata (dwarf banana). Its description in RNAcentral is "long non-coding RNA (MACU_LNC011479)". Lineage: Eukaryota; Viridiplantae; Streptophyta; Magnoliopsida; Zingiberales; Musaceae. The record is from RNAcentral.
UCCUGUGUUCGUCAACCCAUAAGUCGAAUAAUUCACUAGUGCCCUGAUAGAUUGAACUACUACUCAGAGAACACCUAUACGCAGCUGUUAGUCUGCCUUUCUGUGGGUGAAACCUAAACCUCUUUGCUCUCAUUCCCGGACUGCCUACUUUGAUUCCUUAACUGCUCCCUCCUUGUACUAACUCUGACUUAUUAGCUUCAAACUGACACUCCCCAACAAAUAACAAACUAACACACCAGAUCCCCUUUCUUUUUGGAUUUCACUAGUGAGCCUGCCCUUACAAGCUUGAAAACUGAUACUGAUGCCUCUAUUCUAAUACGAUAACCCACAACUUGGAAUUGAACCACUGCCUCACUGGCUUACUGUCCUAUUUAGAAGACUCAAAUUGGUGCUUCCAAUCCCUUUGCUUAAAAUAAAGAAUGUGAUUUAUAGGUAUGAUCCUGGCGCAUAGGGAGAUAGAGCUCAACUACUCAUAUAACAACCGAUCUGACUUGAACCUUAUAUAGGUAAUUCCACAAUCAAAUGGGAAUGAAAUAGUGUCCUGAUAGAUUGAACUAUAAAUAGAGUAACUAGGACUUCUCUUACUGGCAUAGAUCUGGUUAGGAAGCAUAAGAAGUCAAGUCCACUCGAAUUGCCAGUGAUACUACAAAGAUAAGUUCUCCGGGAGUUUCAUUCUUUGUCCAGAGUGUCCUUGUCUAGCUAUUAGGGGUGCAGCGUAUGGGUGCGAGUGUGGAAGAAGUCGUUGCCAGAGAAGGUAGAGAAGAGAGUUUACUUAAGGGUUCCGGGCAGGUAAAGAAGUAGAAUAGUUGCCAGCCCUUUACUAUUAAUUUGAGGGUCAGAUCCAUUAGAAAAGUAGCAUAGAUAUAGGUAAUGAAACACCCCGCCAAGUCGACAAACUACUAAAGUACUGUUAAAUGCAACAACUAGUGGUUUUGUACAAGAUAAGAGAGGUUAUUGGCUUAGAGUAUCCUUCAGCUCGAAAGUCAUCUGUGUUUUUACUCGUAGGAGUUAUUACAAGUCCUGUCUUUG